GAUGAACGCUAGCUACAGGCUUAACACAUGCAAGUCGAGGGGAAACGACAUUGACGCUUGCUUCGAUGGUCGUCGACCGGCGCACGGGUGAGUAACGCGUAUCCAACCUGCCUCUGACCAAGGGAUAACCCGUCGAAAGUCGGCCUAAUACCUUAUGCAGUCGUCGGAAGUCAUCUGAUGACGACGAAAGAUUUCAUCGGUGAGAGAUGGGGAUGCGUCUGAUUAGCUUGUUGGCGGGGUAACGGCCCACCAAGGCAACGAUCAGUAGGGGUUCUGAGAGGGAGGUCCCCCACAUUGGAACUGAGACACGGUCCAAACUCCUACGGGAGGCAGCAGUGAGGAAUAUUGGUCAAUGGGCGAGAGCCUGAACCAGCCAAGUAGCGUGCAGGAUGACGGCCCUAUGGGUUGUAAACUGCUUUUAUGCGGGGAUAAAGUGAGGGACGUGUCCUUCAUUGCAGGUACCGCAUGAAUAAGGACCGGCUAAUUCCGUG
RNAcentral lists this ribosomal RNA (491 nucleotides) under uncultured bacterium. Its description in RNAcentral is "partial 16S ribosomal RNA". It matches the Rfam family "Bacterial small subunit ribosomal RNA", at positions 28 to 507 of the family's 1533-position model. The record is from RNAcentral.